UGGGGAAUUUUGGACAAUGGGCGAAAGCCUGAUCCAGCAAUGCCGCGUGUGUGAAGAAGGUCUUCGGAUUGUAAAGCACUUUAAGUUGGGAGGAAGGGCUAUUACCUAAUACGUGAUGGUUUUGACGUUACCGACAGAAUAAGCACCGGCUAACUCUGUGCCAGCAGCCGCGGUAAUACAGAGGGUGCAAGCGUUAAUCGGAAUUACUGGGCGUAAAGCGCGCGUAGGUGGUUUGUUAAGUUGGAUGUGAAAUCCCCGGGCUCAACCUGGGAACUGCAUUCAAAACUGACUGACUAGAGUAUGGUAGAGGGUGGUGGAAUUUCCUGUGUAGCGGUGAAAUGCGUAGAUAUAGGAAGGAACACCAGUGGCGAAGGCGACCACCUGGACUGAUACUGACACUGAGGUGCGAAAGCGUGGGGAGCAAACAGGAUUAGAUACCCCCGUAGUCCCUGAGCGGGCUGGCAAGGCGCAU
This 472-nucleotide ribosomal RNA is filed under the name uncultured bacterium. Its description in RNAcentral is "bacterial SSU rRNA". It matches the Rfam family "Bacterial small subunit ribosomal RNA", at positions 355 to 825 of the family's 1533-position model. The record is from RNAcentral.